RNAcentral lists this ribosomal RNA (253 nucleotides) under uncultured bacterium. RNAcentral's name for it is "partial 16S ribosomal RNA". It matches the Rfam family "Bacterial small subunit ribosomal RNA", at positions 524 to 776 of the family's 1533-position model. The record is from RNAcentral.
UACAUGGGGUGCAAACGUUGCUCGGAAUUAUUGGGCGUAAAGCGCACGUAGGUGGUCUUUUAAGUCGGAUGUGAAAGCCCUCGGCUCAACCGAGGAAGUGCACCCGAAACUGGAAGGCUUGAGUAUGGAAGAGGGUCGCGGAAUUCCCGGUGUAGAGGUGAAAUUCGUAGAUAUCGGGAGGAACACCGGUGGCGAAGGCGGCGACCUGGGCCAAUACUGACACUGAGGUGCGAAAGCGUGGGGAGCAAACAGG